Molecule: transfer RNA, 77 nt
Filed under: Candidatus Ryanbacteria bacterium RIFCSPLOWO2_02_FULL_47_14
Lineage: Bacteria; Candidatus Ryaniibacteriota
Description: tRNA-His
Rfam family: tRNA
About the family: Transfer RNA (tRNA) molecules are approximately 80 nucleotides in length. Their secondary structure includes four short double-helical elements and three loops (D, anti-codon, and T loops).
Source: RNAcentral
GUGGCUAUAGCUCAGCGGUUAGAGCGCCGCUCUGUGGAAGCGGAGAUGAGGGUUCGAUUCCCUCUAGCCACCUGCCA